GUGAAACAAAGAAUUAGGAUCCUCUCUAUUUUAAAUGAAUUUGAGAGUCUCCAUUUUAUGAUCCAAAUUUAAAAUAUAUUGGAAUUUGAUAUCAUGACAAGAGAGAGAAAUGAUGAUGUGAAAAUAUACAAAGAAUGGACUCUCCAUUUUAUUUGAAAUGGAGAUGAUCCUAGUCCUGAAACAAAAGGUUCCCUAUAGGUGAUGGAGUGGUUGCGCUUGAACCCAGGAUACGAAUUCAUAGGUUGAAAAUGUCCCAUGGGUG
RNAcentral lists this long non-coding RNA (262 nucleotides) under Panax ginseng (ginseng). RNAcentral's name for it is "long non-coding RNA (PGIN_LNC010941)". The record is from RNAcentral. Lineage: Eukaryota; Viridiplantae; Streptophyta; Magnoliopsida; Apiales; Araliaceae.